Molecule: ribosomal RNA, 440 nt
Filed under: uncultured bacterium
Lineage: Bacteria
Description: partial 16S ribosomal RNA
Rfam family: Bacterial small subunit ribosomal RNA
Source: RNAcentral
CCUACGGGCGGCAGCAGUAGGGAAUAUUGCGCAAUGGGGGAAACCCUGAAGCAGCAACGCCGCGUGGAGGAUGAAGGUUUUCGGAUUGUAAACUUCUUUUGUUAGAGAAGAUAAUGACGAUAUCUAACGAAUAAGCACCGGCUAACUCCGUGCUAGCAGCCGCGGUAAUCAGAAGGGUGCAAGCGUUACUCGGAAUAACUGGGCGUAAAGAGCGCGUAGGCGGGAUAGCAAGUCAGAUGUGAAAUCGUAUGGCUUAACCAUAGAACUGCAUUUGAAACUGUUAUUCUAGAGUAUGGGAGAGGCAGGUGGAAUUCUUGGUGUAGAGGUAAAAUGCGUAGAGAUACAGAGGAAUACUCAUUGCGAAGGCGACCUGCUAGACCAUAACUGACGCUGAUGCGCGAAAGCGUGGGGAGCAAACAGGAUUAGAUACCCUAGUAGUC